Long non-coding RNA from Zonotrichia leucophrys gambelii, 407 nucleotides. RefSeq lists it as uncharacterized. The transcript has 4 exons. Lineage: Eukaryota; Metazoa; Chordata; Aves; Passeriformes; Passerellidae. The record is from RefSeq and is a predicted model, not a curated record.
CGCUCGCGAGCGCUCCCUGACGGCGGCCGCGGGCGCCAUCUUGGAAAAGGGCAGAUCCUCACACCUGAGGGCGGGCGGGGCCGGCCCGGGCCCGGGCUCCGCCCUACCCCCUCCGUCCCUCUCCCGGCGGUGUGAAGCAGUAUGAAGCAGCGUGAGGCAGCGCAAGGUCAUCAGGUGCAAGAGAUAAGCUUGACGAGGUGGGACAGGCAGCGUGGGGAGGAGAAGCACCUGACUCAGGAAAGGUCACAGCAGGUGAGGAUUUCCAGAUAAGCCAAGUGCCAUCUUUGAGAAGCCCUGCUGUUCCCUGGACCUAUUUCCAGAAAUGCAGAUACAGCUGAGGAAGGGUGAUGCUCAAUGAGAAGCAGAGCCUGGCUCACCUCCUGGUACCGCGCAAUUCCCCCGUUGAC